This is a non-coding RNA of Strongyloides ratti, 45 nucleotides long. NCBI's taxonomy places the organism in Eukaryota, Metazoa, Nematoda, Chromadorea, Rhabditida, Strongyloididae. The record is from Rfam.
CCAACGGCCCUCCUCAGGGCCACCAUUUUAAACAUAUUUUUUCCU